This 787-nucleotide ribosomal RNA is filed under the name uncultured fungus. RNAcentral describes it as "LSU rRNA". It matches the Rfam family "Eukaryotic large subunit ribosomal RNA", at positions 23 to 664 of the family's 3401-position model. The record is from RNAcentral. Lineage: Eukaryota; Fungi.
ACCCGCUGAACUUAAGCAUAUCAAUAAGCGGAGGAAAAGAAACUAACAAGGAUUCCCCUAGUAACGGCGAGUGAAGCGGGAUGAGCUCAAAUUUGAAAUCUGGCUGGUUUACUAGUCCGAGUUGUAAUUUAAAGAAGCGUUUUCGGUGGCAGCCUGGGUAUAAAUCCUUUGGAAUAGGGUAUCAUAGAGGGUGAGAAUCCCGUCUUUGACCUAGUGCAUGCUACUAUGUGAUACGUUUUCAAAGAGUCGAGUUGUUUGGGAAUGCAGCUCAAAAUGGGUGGUAAAUUUCAUCUAAAGCUAAAUAUUGGCGAGAGACCGAUAGCGAACAAGUACCGUGAGGGAAAGAUGAAAAGAACUUUGAAAAGAGAGUUAAACAGUGCGUGAAAUUGUUGAAAGGGAAACGUUUGACACCAGUCAUGUGGGUGGAAAAUCAGUCUUUUGCAUUGGAGAGUUGUAAGGGUUCGGACCGCAAGGCCGGCUUUUGCUUCAUCUUUGGUGUAAGUGAUGCACUUUUUCAUCUACAGGUCAACAUCAGUUUCUUUUGCUGGACAAAACCCCGAGAGAAGGUAGCAGCUUAGGCUGUGUUAUAGCUCUGGAGCGAUACAGUGAAGGGGACUGAGGUUUUCGCAGCGUGUGCUCUCGGGCAAGGCUGGAUGGGUGCUACGGGAUCGUUCGGGGUACAAUGCCUGGCAUUUUGCUUCGUGUCUUUUCUAUACUCGCUCAACUCAGCUCUUCCACGCUUAGGAUGUUGACUUAAUGGUUUUAAACGACCCGUCUUGAAACACGG